This 372-nucleotide ribosomal RNA is filed under the name uncultured eukaryote. Its description in RNAcentral is "partial 18S ribosomal RNA". It matches the Rfam family "Eukaryotic small subunit ribosomal RNA", at positions 592 to 976 of the family's 1831-position model. The record is from RNAcentral.
CAAUAGCGUAUAUUAAAGUUGUUGCAGUUAAAAAGCUCGUAGUUGGAUUUCUGGGAGGGUGCCGCCGUCCGGCGUGUCCGUGUGCAGUGGCGCCCUUCCAUCCUUCUGUUAGCGUCUCUUGGCAUUCAUUUGCUGGUGGCGGGCUCAGAUAUUUUACCUUGAGAAAAUUAGAGUGUUUCAGGCAGGCUAGGCCGGAAUACAUUAGCAUGGAAUAAUGGAAUAGGACUACGGUCUCUUCGUUGGUUUGAGGGACUGCAGUAAUGAUUAAUAGGGAUAGUUGGGGGCAUUAGUAUUUAAUUGUCAGAGGUGGAAUUCUCAGAUUUGUUAAAGACUAACUUAUGCGAAAGCAUUUGCCAAGGAUGUUUUCAUUAA